UGCACCUUAUUGGUUAGCGGCGGACGGGUGAGUAACACGUGGGCAACCUGCCUGUAAGACUGGGAUAACUUCGGGAAACCGGAGCUAAUACCGGAUAAUCCUUUUCCUCUCAUGAGGAAAAGCUGAAAGUCGGUUUACGCUGACACUUACAGAUGGGCCCGCGGCGCAUUAGCUAGUUGGUGAGGUAACGGCUCACCAAGGCGACGAUGCGUAGCCGACCUGAGAGGGUGAUCGGCCACACUGGGACUGAGACACGGCCCAGACUCCUACGGGAGGCAGCAGUAGGGAAUCUUCCGCAAUGGACGAAAGUCUGACGGAGCAACGCCGCGUGAGCGAUGAAGGCCUUCGGGUCGUAAAGCUCUGUUGUUAGGGAAGAACAAGUACCGGAGUAACUGCCGGUACCUUGACGGUACCUAACCAGAAAGCCACGGCUAACUACGUGCCAGCAGCCGCGGUAAUACGUAGGUGGCAAGCGUUGUCCGGAAUUAUUGGGCGUAAAGCGCGCGCAGGCGGUCCUUUAAGUCUGAUGUGAAAGCCCACGGCUCAACCGUGGAGGGUCAUUGGAAACUGGGGGACUUGAGUACAGAAGAGGAAAGCGGAAUUCCACGUGUAGCGGUGAAAUGCGUAGAGAUGUGGAGGAACACCAGUGGCGAAGGCGGCUUUCUGGUCUGUAACUGACGCUGAGGCGCGAAAGCGUGGGGAG
This 703-nucleotide ribosomal RNA is filed under the name Bacillus sp. (in: firmicutes). Its description in RNAcentral is "bacterial SSU rRNA". It matches the Rfam family "Bacterial small subunit ribosomal RNA", at positions 79 to 768 of the family's 1533-position model. The record is from RNAcentral. Lineage: Bacteria; Bacillati; Bacillota; Bacilli; Caryophanales; Bacillaceae.